AAAGAUUAAGCCAUGCAUGUCUAAGUAUAAGCAAUUAUACUGCGAAACUGCGAAUGGCUCAUUAUAUAAGUUAUCGUUUAUUUGAUAGCACGUUCUUACUUGGAUAACCGUGGUAAUUCUAGAGCUAAUACAUGCUGAAAAUCCCGACUUCGGAAGGGAUGUAUUUAUUAGAUUAAAAACCAAUGCCCUCUGGGCUUGCUGGUGAUUCAUGAUAACUGCGCGAAUCGCACGGCCUUGCGCCGGCGAUGGUUCAUUCAAAUCUCUUCCCUAUCAACUUUCGAUGCGAUGAUCUGGUCAUCGCAUGGUUACAACGGGUAACGGAGGGUUAGGGCUUGACCCCGGAGAAGGAGCCUGAGAGACGGCUACUACAUCCAAGGAAGGCAGCAGGCGCGCAAAUUACCCAAUCCCGACACGGGGAGGUAGUGACAAUAAAUACUGAUACAGGGCUCUUUUGGGUCUUGUAAUUGGAAUGAGUACAAUUUAAAUCCCUUAACGAGGAACAAUUGGAGGGCAAGUCUGGUGCCAGCAGCCGCGGUAAUUCCAGCUCCAAUAGCGUAUAUUAAAGUUGUUGUGGUUAAAAAGCUCGUAGUUGAACCUUGGGCCUGGCUGGCCGGUCCCCCUCACCGGGUGCACUGAUCCAGCCGGGCCUUUCCCUCUACGGAACCCCAUGGCCUUCACUGGCCGUGGCGGGGAAGUAGGACUUUUACUUUGAAAAAAUUAGAGUGCUCCAGGCAGGCCUAUGCUCGAAUACAUUAGCAUGGAAUAAUAGAAUAGGACGCGUGGUUCUAUUUUGUUGGUUUCUAGGACCGCCGUAAUGCUUAAUAGGGACAGUCGGGGGCAUCAGUAUUCAAUUGUCAGAGGUGAAAUUCUUGGAUCUAUUGAAGACUAACUACUGCGAAAGCAUUUGCCAAGGAUGUUUUCAUUGAUCAGGAACGAAAGUUAGGGGAUCGAAAACGAUCAGAUACCGUUGUAGUCUUAACUAUAAACUAUGCCGACUAGGGAUCGGACGAUGUUAUUACUUGACUCGUUCGGCACCUUUCGAGAAAUCAAAGUGCUUGGGCUCCAGGGGGAGUAUGGUCGCAAGGCUGAAA
This 1091-nucleotide ribosomal RNA is filed under the name Corollospora maritima. RNAcentral's name for it is "SSU rRNA". It matches the Rfam family "Eukaryotic small subunit ribosomal RNA", at positions 39 to 1142 of the family's 1831-position model. The record is from RNAcentral. Lineage: Eukaryota; Fungi; Ascomycota; Sordariomycetes; Microascales; Halosphaeriaceae.